GGGACACGUGGUAUCCUGUCUGAAUAUGGGGGGACCAUCCUCCAAGGCUAAAUACUCCUGACUGACCGAUAGUGAACCAGUACCGUGAGGGAAAGGCGAAAAGAACCCCGGCGAGGGGAGUGAAAAAGAACCUGAAACCGUGUACGUACAAGCAGUGGGAGCACGCUUAGGCGUGUGACUGCGUACCUUUUGUAUAAUGGGUCAGCGACUUAUAUUCUGUAGCAAGGUUAACCGAAUAGGGGAGCCGAAGGGAAACCGAGUCUUAACUGGGCGUUAAGUUGCAGGGUAUAGACCCGAAACCCGGUGAUCUAGCCAUGGGCAGGUUGAAGGUUGGGUAACACUAACUGGAGGACCGAACCGACUAAUGUUGAAAAAUUAGCGGAUGACUUGUGGCUGGGGGUGAAAGGCCAAUCAAACCGGGAGAUAGCUGGUUCUCCCCGAAAGCUAUUUAGGUAGCGCCUCGUGAAUUCAUCUCCGGGGGUAGAGCACUGUUUCGGCAAGGGGGUCAUCCCGACUUACCAACCCGAUGCAAACUGCGAAUACCGGAGAAUGUUAUCACGGGAGACACACGGCGGGUGCUAACGUCCGUCGUGAAGAGGGAAACAACCCAGACCGCCAGCUAAGGUCCCAAAGUCAUGGUUAAGUGGGAAACGAUGUGGGAAGGCCCAGACAGCCAGGAUGUUGGCUUAGAAGCAGCCAUCAUUUAAAGAAAGCGUAAUAGCUCACUGGUCGAGUCGGCCUGCGCGGAAGAUGUAACGGGGCUAAACCAUGCACCGAAGCUGCGGCAGCGACGCUGAUGCGUUGUUGGGUAGGGGAGCGUUCUGUAAGCCUGCGAAGGUGUGCUGUGAGGCAUGCUGGAGGUAUCAGAAGUGCGAAUGCUGACAUAAGUAACGAUAAAGCGGGUGAAAAGCCCGCUCGCCGGAAGACCAAGGGUUCCUGUCCAACGUUAAUCGGGGCAGGGUGAGUCGACCCCUAAGGCGAGGCCGAAAGGCGUAGUCGAUGGGAAACAGGUUAAUAUUCCUGUACUUGGUGUUACUGCGAAGGGGGGACGGAGAAGGCUAUGUUGGCCGGGCGACGGUUGUCCCGGUUUAAGCGUGUAGGCUGGUUUUCCAGGCAAAUCCGGAAAAUCAAGGCUGAGGCGUGAUGACGAGGCACUACGGUGCUGAAGCAACAAAUGCCCUGCUUCCAGGAAAAGCCUCUAAGCAUCAGGUAACAUCAAAUCGUACCCCAAACCGACACAGGUGGUCAGGUAGAGAAUACCAAGGCGCUUGAGAGAACUCGGGUGAAGGAACUAGGCAAAAUGGUGCCGUAACUUCGGGAGAA
RNAcentral lists this ribosomal RNA (1323 nucleotides) under Escherichia coli. Its description in RNAcentral is "partial 23S ribosomal RNA". It matches the Rfam family "Bacterial large subunit ribosomal RNA", at positions 419 to 1744 of the family's 2925-position model. RNAcentral also lists the same sequence under 2 other names. Lineage: Bacteria; Pseudomonadati; Pseudomonadota; Gammaproteobacteria; Enterobacterales; Enterobacteriaceae. The record is from RNAcentral.